CAUCCCAGGAGGGCUCUGAUCAUCCCCACCCAUCCCACCAGGGCCAUCCCACCCAUGCCAGGCCCUGGAGGAUGGGGCUGGGUGAAGAUGCUGUUCCGUGGCUGCAGAACAGAGCUGACACCCUGCUCCUCGGGGCUCAGAAAGGAUCUCACAGGAUUCCUGUUACUCUCCCUGAUGUAUCACUGGGCCACGAAAUUCAAAGAAGACAGCAGACAAAGCCAAGUUACACCUACCUCUGAUCUUGGGUUCAUUCAGAAGCAAGUGAUGACUGUCACUCAAUGAACACAAACUCAUGUCUUCAGAACUCCUCCCCUGUGAUCAGGUUUGACCAAGGUGCUCAGCAGCUUCUAGAAUGAGGAUGGACUGGGGGAAAAUAGAACCUUUAUUUUCCUGUACAUGAGGAAAAAAAAUCCCUCCAUUAUCGUAGUUAUAAUGGCAUAAAAGGUGUUUAAAGAGGAGCCUCCUGGGUUUGGACUGGGACAGAAUCUGCUCUGGAGGAGUCAGUGCCCUUGCCAACACUCGUUUAACACGCUCAUGAACUGCUCCUGAAUGUGAAUGUCUGAGUCUCUGCACUCAAUCUUGAUUAACUGGCCCAACCAUGAAUGUUAAUCACCCUGAUUUACAUUGCCUGCAGAGCUAUGGUCAGCUUCAUAUCAGCAACCUCGCAGCUGCCCUGACGUGUUCCAGGGGGAACUUCCAGGGUGCUCCCAGCCCUGCAGAGGAGGAGCAGGGCAGGAGUGCCCCGGCCAAGGGAACUGCUGUGCCUCACACACCUUUCCCUUUUUGGGCUCUCCAAGCUGUAAAGGUGUAGGUAACACACAGGAAAAGAGGGUUUUAGUUACAUUUGGACUCUGAAUACAUAAAAAAGGACUUAAGUUUGACAUUUUUGUGUUCUUCCCAGCAACAAACAGCUGCUCAGAGAUGAGGCAGGAUUUAAGGCAACGUCCUUUCCCUUGGUGGGAGCUAGUAAGUGAGCACAGGGAGAUGUACACAGGCUUUUCCAGGGAUGUAACCAUUCUGCAGCACCAUUCCCGAGCACAGGAAUUUCCAGGGCUGGGCAUGGCCAGCUGCUCUGAGCUCCUGGUGGCAGGAGCUCCACGUGCUGCAGAGGCAGGGUGUCCCAAAAGCUGCUGUUAUCACCAGGAGCUGCUCCUGGAAACUCGCCUGUCAGGGACGCUGCUCGGCUCUCUUGGUGGUAGAAGAUUGUUCCUCUGGACUUUUCUUAAAAAAAUAAAUAAAAUGUCAAGCCUGAAAAGGAAGCCUGCUAUUUUUCAAGUCCAGGAGCUGUAAUCAUGCUAAUCCAUAUGAUCGUGCUAAAGCCAAGCAAAAUGCCUUUUGCAUAUGAUGUAAUCAGCCAGGGCAGCCUAUUUAUAACCACGGCUGGCUGGGAACACCUUCCCAGAAAAAUACAACCAGGACAGCUUUCCCUCGGUCACAUUCUUCCUCUUCCUCCCCGUAUUUUUCACUUUCUUUGUGCUCUUUUGCCUACUUGUGCUGCCUUCCCAGCCUUAAAUACAGCAACUUUUUAAUUUCUAUUUUAACCUAAUGCUUCCCGUGCAUUUUAUUUUAUCCCUGUUUUAGAGCUGUGCUGAGUGAAUUCGCAGUCCUGUGAAAUCAAUACCAAAACUUCUAUUGAUUUCAUAUAAUAUAUUCCUUUAAAUUCAGUACAAAUGCUCCACAGGAGUUGUCUGUUUUAAGUAUGGAUCUACUGUACAGGGCUGUCAGUCUCUCAGCUGGAUACAUAAACCAGCGUGGUUUAAUAAAUUCAUUGGUGUGGCUUGGGAGCUUUCCGUGUAAUAACUGAAAAUCUGUUGCUCAUACUGAGCAUAUCAAGUGUAAAAGGAGAGGAUUCAUCAAUGUGAAUAUCUAUCUGUGGAUCAAUUGGUAUCAAUCUUGUUUAACAGUCUGUUUCCUCAGGACACACUUUGGGAACAAAGAGCAUUUCAAACUGUUGGUUAAACAAACAAAUAUAGAGAAGCUCUUUGGGCAACAUGGGGGUGGAGUAAGCAUCAGAUAAAAAUUGAAAUCAGCGAUUUCAAAUGCCCGUUAAUCUCUCCCAUUUCAUAUUAGUAAAUACAGAGUUUCUCUUGAUGUAAUGUGCCCAUUAAAGUGCAUCAAGAAUGGGGCUUCAAAA
Long non-coding RNA from Passer domesticus (house sparrow), 2134 nucleotides. RefSeq lists it as uncharacterized. The record is from RefSeq and is a predicted model, not a curated record. Lineage: Eukaryota; Metazoa; Chordata; Aves; Passeriformes; Passeridae. The transcript is spliced from 3 exons.